Molecule: non-coding RNA, 198 nt
Filed under: Holdemanella biformis
Lineage: Bacteria; Bacillati; Bacillota; Erysipelotrichia; Erysipelotrichales; Erysipelotrichaceae
Description: Eubacterium biforme T-box sequence
Rfam family: T-box leader
About the family: Uncharged tRNA acts as the effector for transcription antitermination of genes in the T-box leader family. T-boxes are found upstream of many aminoacyl-tRNA synthetase genes and some amino acid biosynthetic genes usually in Gram-positive bacteria.
Source: RNAcentral
CAAUAAGCAAAGAAAAGAAGAGUAUUUAUAUUGCAUACUAUAGAGAGCAGAUGUUUGGUGAAAAUCUGUGUAUAAGAUAUAAAGAAUAUGGUCUUGGAGCUUCUUUAUUGAUAUGUAGAUAAAGACGUAUGCUGGCGUUAACAGCUUGAGGUGUGCAAACACAAACUAAGGUGGUACCACGAAGCUUUCGUCCUUGGA